This 24-nucleotide non-coding RNA is filed under the name Arabidopsis thaliana (thale cress). The record is from RNAcentral. Lineage: Eukaryota; Viridiplantae; Streptophyta; Magnoliopsida; Brassicales; Brassicaceae.
UAUCCUUUUGUUACAUGGUGGCUU